UACACAGUUGUAAAUUGUGAACCGUACCAAACUAUUCAGGGGUCGGCUUGUCCGUUAAAUGGUCGUCGGACGCGAGAGAUCGCGGCCGCUCGACCGGCCCCGCACGCGUGUUGUUUUUUAUAAACAUAUGUGUACCUGUCUGACCAAGCGUUGCGGCCGGCCCAAGGGUCGGUCGCAGCAAUUAGAGCAAAAAACGAGAUACAACUUUUGACGGUGGAUCUCUUGGCUCACGCAUCGAUGAAGAACGCAGCCAGCUGCGAUAAGUAGUGUGAAUUGCAGAAUUCAGUGAAUCAUCGAAUCUUUGAACGCAAAUGGCGCUCUUGGGUUCUCCCAGGAGCAUGUCUGUCUGAGUGUCGGAUAUCAUCCAACGCACGCCAGCGUGCGGAAUUGAGGCGUCACGGUCCGUACUGCACGGACCGUGUCCCUUGAAAGUCAGAGAGACUCGCCGCGUCGCGGGAAGAUUCCCCGUGCACACCAGCGGAGGCUAAAAUGUCUUUUGCCCUUCGCGUGCCGGGAAGUCGCCGCGUGCGGCGGUCGUCGUCGGGCGAUC
RNAcentral lists this ribosomal RNA (550 nucleotides) under Desmophyllum dianthus. Its description in RNAcentral is "eukaryotic LSU rRNA". The stretch from base 203 to 356 matches the Rfam family "5.8S ribosomal RNA". Lineage: Eukaryota; Metazoa; Cnidaria; Anthozoa; Scleractinia; Caryophylliidae. The record is from RNAcentral.